This is a non-coding RNA of Pelobates cultripes (western spadefoot toad), 1029 nucleotides long. Lineage: Eukaryota; Metazoa; Chordata; Amphibia; Anura; Pelobatidae. The record is from the annotation of a GenBank genome assembly.
AGCAAUUCAAGUUCAUCCCUCUAUAGGUAAUACCUUCCUGCAAGUUGUUCUUACAGAUGACGCCGUUGACUACAAUAUACUGUUGAGCUUACAAAGACAGGCAAGCAAGGAAGAACAUGACCUCUGGACGAAACAAGAUGCAGAACCUGAUGAUGACAGAAUGUGGAGGAAAGGUAAAAGAUUGUGUUUGUCACGAGUAUUGUACCCCAUGAUGGCCCAGAUUGCUCAUGGACCUACACAUCUAUCCAAGAUGCACAUGUACAGCAUAAGUAAAUACCUACUGGGUAGCACCCCGAUUUACUGUUGUAGCAGAUAAACACACCCAAGCUUGCAUGAUUUGUGCUAGAAACAAUCCAGGACAGGCUGUCAAAACACCAAGUAAGCACACCAAGGCCACUUUAUCCGCUUCAAAGACUGCAGAUAUUCAACUGCCUAAGGUAGGAGUGUAUGAAUAUGUGUUGGUGUGCAUUGAUCUCUUUUCAGGUUGGCCUGAGGCCUACCCAGUGUCGAAAGCCACAACGAAGGUCACAGCAAGUAAGCUUCUGAAAGAACUGGUAUAUAGAUAUGGAGUACCUGAAGUGAUUGAAAAUGACAGAGGUAGCCAUUUCACUGGGGAAAUAAUGCAAGAAAUUAUAAAAGCCUUAGGGAUCAGUCAGGCCUUCCACACCCCCUAUUAACCCCCAGAGUAGAGGGAAAGUAGAAAGGGCAAAUGGCACCUUAAAAAACAAGAUUGCAAAAGCCAUGCAAGAAACAGUGAAGCCCUGGACUGAAUGCCUUCCCCUAGCACUCUUUUCUAUGAGAUUCAGACCCAAUUCUAGACAUGGCCCAUCCCCUUUUGAGAUACUGUUAGGAUGUGCCCCAAAGACAGGCCUCUAUUUUCCCCAGACCCUCCAGAUGCAGCAUGGUAGUAUGACUGCCUAUGUACAGGCCCUACACCAAAGAUUAGGCAGGGUGCAUAAACAAGUCUUUGAUUCUAUUCCAGAUCCAGACUCUGAUUCUGCAACUCACAAACUGCAGCCUGGUGAUUGG